Molecule: ribosomal RNA, 200 nt
Filed under: uncultured bacterium
Lineage: Bacteria
Description: partial 16S ribosomal RNA
Rfam family: Bacterial small subunit ribosomal RNA
Source: RNAcentral
AAUGAACGCUGGCGGCGUGCCUAAUACAUGCAAGUCGUGCGGCAGCAUGCCCUUCGGGGUGAUGGCGAGCGGCGGACGGCUGAGUAACGCGUAGGAAUCUACCCCAAAGUGAGGAAUAACCUCGAGAAAUCGAGGCUAAUGCCGCAUAUGGUCUUCGGAUUAAAGGAUUUAUCCGCUUUGGGAAGAGCCUGCGUAAGAUU